Molecule: non-coding RNA, 1041 nt
Organism: Megalobrama amblycephala (Wuchang bream)
Lineage: Eukaryota; Metazoa; Chordata; Actinopteri; Cypriniformes; Xenocyprididae
Source: the annotation of a RefSeq genome assembly
ACCAACAGCAACCAUGAGCUUCAUCACCAUCUUCAUCUGGAUGUUCACUAGCUACUGUUUCACAGAAUCAGCUGGUGAAGUGACAGCCACUCAGACGCCUGCAGUGAAAUCUGUUCGUCCAGGAGACACAUUUACCAUGUCCUGUAAAACCAGUACUGAAGUUUACCAAGGUUGGGGUUAUCAGCCUUUAGCCUGGUACUUACAGAAACCUGGAGAAGCUCCUAAACUCCUGAUUUAUAAAGCAAGCACCCUCCAGUCAGGAACUCCAUCUAGAUUCAGUGGCAGUGGAUCUAACAGUGAUUUCACUCUGACCAUCAGUGGAGUCCAGACUGAAGAUGCUGGACAUUAUUACUGUCAGGGUCGCCACAGUGGUUAUGUGUUCACACAGUGAUAAAGAGUCGUACAAAAACCUCCGUCAGUCAGAGUCACAGUGACUGAACUGAUACUGCAGCUGCUCACACACUUUCACACACUUUCACACACACUCAACAGUGCAGAAACACAAAUAUGAUCUUAAUAUCAGCUUUGUUGAGCUUCAUCAGUAUUUCUUCAGAUAAAUAGAAAUUCUUUUGAUGUUUUCAUAAUUUUUUAGAUCAUUUAUGGUUUAUUUAUCCUCAUUUCCACUCACUCAAUAUUUUAAAGUCAUUGAUAUUUUUGAUCAUGUACUUUUAUUAUUUUUUCUUCCUAAUCUUAGUUAUACAGUAAAGAUCUGAGGAACUGAAGCUGUCGAUCACACAGCGAGAGUUUAUCUGGACACUUCCCAAAACUCCUGUUAUAAUCAGUGACGCUCUUACACUACACAAUCAAUCUCUGACUGGAUUUACAUCGUGUUUGAAUUGUUAGUUAUGGUGAAAGCAUUUCUGGAGUGCAGAAAUUUAGUUGUAAUGACGAGAUCACUGCAUUCACACCAUCAACAGACUGUCUGUCAUCUGCUCAGUUUCUCAUCACUGCAACCUUCCCUGUGAUGAACAGAUCUAAAUAUAAGGCAAUAAUCAACACUUUUCACCAUUCGUUCAUUUAGACAGCUGUAAUAGUAAAAAU